GGCAAAUCUCCUGUGUGACUGGAAGGUGUGGAAGCUGGCUCCACCCCUCCUCGACACCAUUUAAGGGAUGACUGCCACUGGGAAGAAUUUCUUUCUGGUGGUCCUUCCUUUGUGGAGCUUUUUAUUGUGAGCCUAAAUCUUUGGAUAUAUCCCACAAGAGAAACAUUUCGGAGAGGGUUGCUCUAUAAUUUACAUUCUUAUUGUCAAAUCUGGGAAAUGAAGCACAGAUACUUUAUGAGGAAUGGCUUGUUCAUUUUAAAUGGGAAAGAAACGAAUUUGAAAUAUAACUGCCUGGCAAACAAAUUUGAAGGUGAUUAAAUCAACCAUAUUUAAAGACCGGUGAGUCCAGAGGUUUUGAUACCCAGCACAAGAACACCCACCUAUUCUCCAUUUUCAUUUCUGCU
Long non-coding RNA from Gallus gallus (chicken), 404 nucleotides. Lineage: Eukaryota; Metazoa; Chordata; Aves; Galliformes; Phasianidae. The record is from Ensembl.